This 1268-nucleotide long non-coding RNA is filed under the name Homo sapiens (human). RNAcentral's name for it is "long non-coding RNA NONHSAT185779.1". Lineage: Eukaryota; Metazoa; Chordata; Mammalia; Primates; Hominidae. The record is from RNAcentral.
AUUGAAAAGGGUUACCAUUCCAUCAAAUACAAUAUCUGUGAAUGGAAGGUCAAGACUCAGCCAUUCCAUGUCCCCUGAUGCCCAGGACGGCCAUUAAAUGUUACCCUGCCACACCACUGCACUUCACUUCCACUUCAGACCAACUUCAUACUAAUGGAACAUUUUGGCAAAUGUAUAUUCAGAUGUACACUAAUAUAUUAUCUAUUAAAAUAUUAGAAUUUGUGUUGUGGCUUUUAAUGCCAGAAGAAAAGUUACCAGAAUUUAUAAUUUAUAGUAAUUUUUUGAUCUUUUUUUUGCCUUAAGAGUUGAAUAUGCUGCUUUAGAACUUUAAAACAAGGUGUAAAUGAUUUUCAUUUUUUACAAAUGAAAAAUAAUUCCUUUGUAUUGAUUUCACUUACCAGCACAUUCUCUACAAUGGUGACUUAGACAAAAGUAUAAGAUUCAUAGACUUUAUAUUUGUAUGACAUACAACUAGGACAAACAUAGAUAUGACAUUUGCUGCCUCAGUGUAGCAAUUGGAAAUAUUUAUAAGUUAUAUGAAAGCCUGUUUUGGGCUGAAAGAAUGAUUUAGAAAACUAGUGAUACCAAAUAAGUAUAUUCAGUUCAAUAAUUAUUUUCAAUGAUGAAUCACUUAGUGUGAAAGACUUGCCUUGUGUAUUCUUUAUGUAAUUACAAAUCACUGUCAAUUUUAUGGGAAGCUCAUAGUAUUUUAAUAUUUUAUUAACAUGGAACUCUUGUUUUUUUAAUCUUUAGAACUUAAAUUCUACAAGAAUUUUAAAUAUUUUCUGUAUAUAAUUAUGACAUUGUCACACAGAAAUUACACAUUUUAUGUGCCAGAAGCCUUAAACAUCUUUCUGUGAAAAUGCUGAUAUAUUGUGACAGUUAUUUCACAUUUGAUAUGUAGAGAGGAAUAGGGGUUAGUUUAUGUUUAUAUUGAAAAACUUUAAAGACUAUUUGGAAGUUCCAGAAAUUCUGGUUUUAAUUCAAGUAAAAUGAUAAAAUAGUCAUUAUAUAGUUCAGAUGCUAAUAUUCUAAGUAAUAAUAUAUAUUUACAUUGAAGCUAAAACUGUUAAGCAAAACAAUGCCCAUUUGUCGGCUUACAGCUCUUCCGGAGUCUAGAGCCUGUUGGUGUUCUGUCCCUACUUUAAGAAUUUAAUUGCUCACUUAUUCUGAAAGCUUUGUUCAAACAAGAUGAUAUUAAAUUUGUUUUCACUAAAACUACUGGGAUAUCUGCCUCUUGGGGAUUUUUUUUUCAAUUUAAUAAAAGC